RNAcentral lists this ribosomal RNA (468 nucleotides) under uncultured bacterium. RNAcentral's name for it is "partial 16S ribosomal RNA". It matches the Rfam family "Bacterial small subunit ribosomal RNA", at positions 28 to 507 of the family's 1533-position model. The record is from RNAcentral.
GAUGAACGCUGGCGGCGUGCUUAAUACAUGCAAGUCGAACGGACAGGCCCUGCUUUUGUGGGUUGCUUGAGUGCCGCACGGGUGAGUAACACGUGAGUAACCCGUCCCUGUCUUUGGGAUAACUUUAGGAAACUCGGGCUAAUACCCGAUAGGAUAUUCUGCUCCAUGGUGGGGGAUGGAAAGUUUCGGCGGUUGUGGAUGGACUCGCGGCUUAUGCGCUUGUUAGUGGAGUAGUGGCAUACCAAGCCUUUGACGGCUAGCCGGCCUGGGAGGGUGACCGGGCACAUUGGGACUGAGGUACGGCGCAGACGCCUACGGUAGGCAGCAGUGGAGAAUAUUGCGCAAUGGGGGGGAGCCUGAUACGACAACGCCGCGUGCGGGAUGACGGCCUUCGGGUGGUAAACCGAUUUCGCCUGUGACGAGGCGUGAGUGACGGUAAUGGGUAAAGAAGCACCGGCUAACUACGUG